This 253-nucleotide ribosomal RNA is filed under the name uncultured bacterium. Its description in RNAcentral is "partial 16S ribosomal RNA". It matches the Rfam family "Bacterial small subunit ribosomal RNA", at positions 524 to 776 of the family's 1533-position model. The record is from RNAcentral.
UACGGAGGGGGCUAGCGUUGUUCGGAAUUACUGGGCGUAAAGCGCGCGUAGGCGGCCUUCUAAGUCAGACGUGAAAUCCCCCGGCUUAACCUGGGAACUGCGUCUGAUACUGGGAGGCUUGAGUAUGGGAGAGGGAUGUAGAAUUCCAGGUGUAGCGGUGAAAUGCGUAGAUAUCUGGAGGAAUACCGGUGGCGAAGGCGGCAUCCUGGACCAUAACUGACGCUGAGGCGCGAAAGCUAGGGGAGCAAACGGG